Non-coding RNA from Oryza glaberrima (African rice), 208 nucleotides. The record is from Rfam. Lineage: Eukaryota; Viridiplantae; Streptophyta; Magnoliopsida; Poales; Poaceae.
AAUAAAUGCAGUUUUGUACUAUUCACGUUCAACGUUUGAUCAUUCGUUUUAUUUGAAAAUUUUUUAUGAUUAGUAUUUUUAUUGCUAUUAGAUGAUAAAACAUGAAUAGUACUUUAUGUAUGAUUAAAUAUUUUUAAAUUUUUCACAAAUUUUUUAAAUAAGACGGACGGUCAAACGUUGGGCACGCAUAUCCACGGCUGCACUUAUU